CAAUGGAGAGUUUGAUCCUGGCUCAGGAUGAACGCUGGCGGUCUGCUUAACACAUGCAAGUCGAACGGGUCCUUUCGGGGAUUAGUGGCGGACGGGUGAGUAACGCGUGAGAAUCUGCCUUCAGGUUCGGGACAACAGUUGGAAACGGCUGCUAAUACCGGAUGUGCCGAGAGGUGAAAGCUUAAGUGCCUGGAGAUGAGCUCGCGUCUGAUUAGCUAGUAGGAGUGGUAACGGCACCCCUAGGCGACGAUCAGUAGCUGGUCUGAGAGGAUGAUCAGCCACACUGGGACUGAGACACGGCCCAGACUCCUACGGGAGGCAGCAGUGGGGAAUUUUCCGCAAUGGGCGCAAGCCUGACGGAGCAAGACCGCGUGAGGGAAGAAGGUCUGUGGAUUGUAAACCUCUUUUGAUCGGGAAGAAGACAGUGACGGUACCGAUCGAAUCAGCCUCGGCUAACUCCGUGCCAGCAGCCGCGGUAAUACGGAGGAGGCAAGCGUUAUCCGGAAUUAUUGGGCGUAAAGAGUCCGUAGGUGGGUCACCCAGUCAGCUGUUAAAUAGUGAAGCUUAACUUCAUAGAGGCGGCUGAAACUGGUGGUCUAGAGAGUGGUAGGGGUAGAGGGAAUUUCCAGUGUAGCGGUGAAAUGCGUAGAUAUUGGAAAGAACACCGGUGGCGAAAGCGCUCUACUGGGCCAUUACUGACACUGAGGGACGAAAGCUAGGGGAGCGAAAGGGAUUAGAUACCCCUGUAGUCCUAGCCGUAAACGAUGGAUACUAGGCGUUGCCCGUAUCGACCCGGGCAGUGUCGUAGCCAACGCGUUAAGUAUCCCGCCUGGGGAGUACGCUCGCAAGAGUGAAACUCAAGGAAUUGACGGGGCCCGCACAAGCGGUGGAGUAUGUGGUUUAAUCGAUGCAACGCGAAGAACCUUACCAAGACUGACA
Molecule: ribosomal RNA, 939 nt
Filed under: Leptolyngbyaceae cyanobacterium CSU_1_4
Lineage: Bacteria; Bacillati; Cyanobacteriota; Cyanophyceae; Leptolyngbyales; Leptolyngbyaceae
Description: bacterial SSU rRNA
Rfam family: Bacterial small subunit ribosomal RNA
Source: RNAcentral